This is a long non-coding RNA of Aedes albopictus (Asian tiger mosquito), 398 nucleotides long. RefSeq lists it as uncharacterized. The transcript is spliced from 2 exons. The record is from RefSeq and is a predicted model, not a curated record. NCBI's taxonomy places the organism in Eukaryota, Metazoa, Arthropoda, Insecta, Diptera, Culicidae.
UAAACUGCUCCGCACAUCGCAUGAGUAACAGUUACUCACUGUGGUGCAUCGCUGCAAAUCCGGGAGAAUGUGUGGAAAUUAUGUGUAGGUCAUACUCACGCCGUGAGCUGUUGGCCUGUUACUCAUUUUUGAGCUCCUGGAUUUUGUUGACAAACGCUCCAAAAAGCGAGCGUUUGUCAAUUUUACAACAACAAAAAAAUAAAGAAAAAAUUGUGGUUGUUGUGAUCACCAGAAGUCCCACUAAAAGCACGUUGGUAUACUCGUGAUGGAGAAAUCGCUACCGGUACCGGUAAAAAGCACCUGAUUCAGAACCGCAAUGAGUUGGGUCGAUAGGUUUGUGCUUAAAAUAUUCCUGCUUUAUUAUGUAUAAAAUAAUAAUAAAGUUCAAUUUUACAUUA